UUCUCGAAUUUCUACUCACGAUUAAGAUCACAACAGCCAUUCUCGGCUGAGUGAGUAGCAGGUCUGCUUGAGGCGAGAACCAAGCUCGGUCUACUCAUACCACUGAUCUCUAGGCCACAUUUUUCUUUGCUUUAGGCGGACUUACAUCCUUGACACGCCCUUAAUUCUUUACAUAACCAAUGGCCAAUACUUCCUGUCACACCCAUCUGCUUGCUCAUUAUGUUGUAUUGUUUUACUUCUCCUGCUAUUCGUGAGUCAGUCUUAAGACACUCCCUCAGUGAUUUUCUGUUAAAUUAUUGGCUCAUAACAUGUCGCCACGACUGACGUCACGGGUCAGAGUCUUUUUCAAUGGUUGUUCACACUUUCUGACCACGCCCACUGGGCAUCUGUUUUCUGUAUCUGAGUCUGGGUAUCUGUUUUCCUUUACCCUCGUUGUUUCCCCUCUUUGGUACUUGAGAUGCUUACACUGUUAUAUAUGUCACCCUUCUUGUUAGUGUUUGUCCUGUCAGAUGUUUACACAGUUGUAUAUCUCUCAUUCCUCUCUGGGUAUCUGUUUUUCUUUAUCCUCGUUGUUUCCCCUCUUUGGUAUUUGAGAUGCUUACACUGUUAUAUAUGUCACCCUUUUUGUUAGUGUUUGUCCUGUCAGAUGUCUACACAGUUGUAUACCUGCCUUUCCUCUCUGGGUAUCUGUUUUCCUUUACCCUCGUUGUUUCCCCUCUUUUGUACUUGAGAUGUUUACACUUAUAUAUAUGUCACCCUUUUUGUUAGUGUUUGUCCUGUCAGAUGUUUACACAGUUGUAUAUCUCUCAUUCCUCUCUGGGUAUCUGUUUUUCUUUAUCCUCGUUGUUUCCCCUCUUUGGUAUUUGAGAUGCUUACACUGUUAUAUAUGUCACCCUUUUUGUUAGUGUUUGUCCUGUCAGAUGUCUACACAGUUGUAUACCUGCCUUUCCUCUCUGGGUAUCUGUUUUCCUUUACCCUCGUUGUUUCCCCUCUUUUGUACUUGAGAUGUUUACACUUAUAUAUAUGUCACCCUUUUUGUUAGUGUUUGUCCUGUCAGGUGUUUACACAGUUGUAUAUCUCACUCCUCUGUUUCCUCGUUUUCUGGGUCCUGACAACUUCCUCGCCUCCUCUUUACACCUUUUCGUCCCCCUGACCUUCACUCACCACUUUUUUUUCUGUCUGUCUGAGUGCCUCUUUGUCUGCCUCUUCCUGUCUGUCUGUCUCUGUGUCUGUCUGUCAAACGCUGGUGCUGAAGUGGUGUCUAGUUGAUGGAUGAGAAUGUCGAGUAGGUGUAAACAUCCUCACCUGAUGCCGACAUUUGAGAAUCCCGCACUGGUUAUAUUCGUCUCUUUAAUGUCUGAUUGGCCGUAAUACCAUUCAAAAGUAUGUGUUGACGUAGAUCACUAACGCUAAUUAAGUGUGUCAUUAUGCCAGAUGUAAAUACUAAGGCGAUAAAGGUGGGUGUUACGUGACAAUUUUUAAAGAAGAAAUCAAAGGAAUAUCAAUCGAGACACAUGAUGAAGAGAACCUUGCACUGAGCGAGAUCAAAGAGAGGAUGAUAUUUGUAACCGAGGUCGGGGAAAAAGAGAAUUACGUGCAUGACCGUUGUGAAUGGAGGAGCCGCCACAGCGAAGUUAACGAAGGCGAGGCGAUGUACCGAUGGCGUGAUGGCGGCAGAUAAUUUCACAGAGGUCAUGAAAACUCAGUGUGUUUAUGACUCCGUGUAAUGAAGUGAUCAUAAUUUUUUUUUAACGUAGACGAAAGGAUGAACUGAGGGCGAAUGAGAUCAGACGGAAGAAAAUUUUUGCUUAGGAGUUAAUCAUAAAAAGUUGACGUAGACGAAAGAAUAUCCUGAAAGCGAGCGAGAUUAUACAUAGAUAAGUUGGACUAUGCUUAUCUAGCUAUCAAUCUGUCUAUUUAAGGUUUGCAUCAUGUGACCGUGGCAUUUAAUCAGGUCAUGGCAGGUGAGCUAAGGUAAAAAACAUGAGUCAGGUGUAAUUUAAUCCACUGAAGUAAUUAACGUAAAGGCAUAAAUAUAGCGUUAAUAAUUAUGAACUUCACAAGAAUUUUUUUUUUUGGUGUGUGCUCCGUACGUUCGAAGGUCACGUGACAAGAUAACAUGACGGUAUAGCGAAUUACAAUCCUUCUCUUUAUUAGUGUUUGUUUCCCAGUUUGUACGCUCCGCUCCGGUUAGUACGCAUAUAAGGAAAGCAACAACAAGGAAGCAUGGAAUAAUUAGGCCGAGAUAUGAAACUUAACUAUUGAUGGUAGACUGUGGAAUAAAAGUGAAUUGUUGACGAAUCUGUGGCAUGAAACUGAACCAUGGAUAAAACUGUGGAAUAUAAUUGAACUGCACAUUGAGGAAACUGAAAUAUAAAACAACUAUUGAAAAAAAAUAUAUAGAACUGAAUCAUUAACAAAACUGAGGAAUAAUAAAACUGAAUCAUUAACUUAACUGAGAAACAAAAACGAACUACAUUGAGAAAACAAAAAUAUAAAACUAUAGAAAAAAAGAACGACUAGGCUACUGAAAAAAAAAAAAAAUCUACACACACACACACACACACACACACACACACACACACACACACACACAUAAGAAUAUCUACCAAUCUGAACGUAUAUGGCAAACUCUCUUCCCUUGUGUUGAGUGCUGAUUGGAGGGUGCGUACGAAUUAGCGAACACCCCCUUCCCCCCCCCCAUUCCCUCAACAACAGAGUGUGCAGGUGACAGUGGCGGCGGCGGCAGGGUGAGGUGAGGUGAGGUGAGGUGAGGUGAUAAAGAUUUUUCCAUCAAAACAAAAACAAUUAUUCCGAUGACGGGUAAUUUUGGGUAAUGAAUCUGCAUUGUCGCAAUUUUAGUAAUGUAUUAAAUGUUUUUGUUUUUUUUAACUCUGGGAUAUUAGCGCGGGGAUAGGCAAAAAUAUGUAGGAUGAAAGCACACACACACACACACA
This is a long non-coding RNA of Eriocheir sinensis (Chinese mitten crab), 2957 nucleotides long. RefSeq lists it as uncharacterized. Lineage: Eukaryota; Metazoa; Arthropoda; Malacostraca; Decapoda; Varunidae. The transcript has 2 exons. The record is from RefSeq and is a predicted model, not a curated record.